CCUACGGGAGGCUGCAGUGAGGAAUAUUGGUCAAUGGGCGGGGCCCUGAACCAGCCACGUCGCGUGAGGGAAGACGGUCUUCUGGAUUUUAAGCCUUAUCAGCCGGGGAGCAAUGCCGGGCACGUGUGCACGGAGCGCGAGUUACCGCCGUAUCAGCAUCGGCUAACGUCGUGCCAGCAGCCGCGGUAUUACGGAGGAUGCGAGCGUUAUGCGGUUUUGUUGGGGUAAAGGGGUGCGUAAGCGGAUUUUUAGGUCAGCGGGAAAAUGUCGGGGCUCAACCCGGGCCGGCCGUUGAAACUGGGGAUCUUGAGUGGGCGAGAGGUAUGCGGAAUGCGUGGUGUAGCGGUGAAAUGCAUAGAUAUCACGCAGAACUCCAGUUGCGAAGGCAGCAUACCGGCGCCCGACUGACGCUGAGGCACGAAAGCGUGGGGAUCGAACAGGAUUAGAUACCCGAGUAGUC
Molecule: ribosomal RNA, 460 nt
Filed under: uncultured bacterium
Lineage: Bacteria
Description: partial 16S ribosomal RNA
Rfam family: Bacterial small subunit ribosomal RNA
Source: RNAcentral